GAUGAACGCUGGCGGCGUGCCUAACACAUGCAAGUCGAGCGAACAGACGCGGAUCUUGCUCCUCGCACGUUUGCGGCGCACGUGUGAGUAACAUGUGUAUACCCUACUUAUAAGACUGGUAUAACUUCGGGAAACCGGCGCAUAUCCCGGAUAAUAUCUUGAACCGCAUGGUGCAAUAGUGAAAUACGGUGUUUCUGUCACUUAUAGAGGGAUCUCGGCCGCAUUAGAUAGUUGGUAGGGUAACGGCUUAUUAAGGCAACCAUGCGUAGACGACCGCAGAGGCUGGUAGCCGACCCGGGAGGGUAGCCACGGUCCAUGCUCCUACGAGAGGCAGCAGUAGGGAAUCGGCCGCAAUGGGCGGAAGCCUGGCGGAGCAGCGCCGCGCGAGUGAUGGAGGUCUCCGGAUUGUAAAGCUCUGUUAUUAGGGGAAAACAAAUGUGUACGUAACUAUGGCCGUCUUGACGGUAACUGAUCAGAAAGCACCGGCUAACUACGUG
RNAcentral lists this ribosomal RNA (497 nucleotides) under uncultured bacterium. Its description in RNAcentral is "partial 16S ribosomal RNA". It matches the Rfam family "Bacterial small subunit ribosomal RNA", at positions 28 to 507 of the family's 1533-position model. The record is from RNAcentral.